RNAcentral lists this ribosomal RNA (319 nucleotides) under Salmonella enterica subsp. enterica serovar Agona. RNAcentral's name for it is "partial 23S ribosomal RNA". It matches the Rfam family "Bacterial large subunit ribosomal RNA", at positions 583 to 905 of the family's 2925-position model. RNAcentral also lists the same sequence under 1 other name. Lineage: Bacteria; Pseudomonadati; Pseudomonadota; Gammaproteobacteria; Enterobacterales; Enterobacteriaceae. The record is from RNAcentral.
CUUUGGGGUGUGACUGCGUACCUUUUGUAUAAUGGGUCAGCGACUUAUAUUCUGUAGCAAGGUUAACCGAAUAGGGGAGCCGGAGGGAAACCGAGUCUUAAUUGGGCGUUAAGUUGCAGGGUAUAGACCCGAAACCCGGUGAUCUAGCCAUGGGCAGGUUGAAGGUUGGGUAACACUAACUGGAGGACCGAACCGACUAAUGUUGAAAAAUUAGCGGAUGACCUGUGGCUGGGGGUGAAAGGCCAAUCAAACCGGGAGAUAGCUGGUUCUCCCCGAAAGCUAUUUAGGUAGCGCCUCGUGAAUUCAUCUCCGGGGGUAG